Molecule: ribosomal RNA, 345 nt
Filed under: Triticum aestivum (bread wheat)
Lineage: Eukaryota; Viridiplantae; Streptophyta; Magnoliopsida; Poales; Poaceae
Description: partial small subunit ribosomal RNA
Source: RNAcentral
AUGUACAUCAACAAUUACAUUACAUUCUGGCAUGAAGUAAUUGAGAUUUAUCAGCAUCCAUAUACAAUUCACAACAGGUACUUUAUCAGCAUCCACAUACAAUUCACAACAGGUACUUUAUCAGCAUCCACAUACAAUUCACAACAGGUACUUUAUCAGCAUCCACAUACAAUUCACAACUGGUACUUCACAGGCAUCCUCGUGAUCCAAAUGCUAAAGCCAAAAAAAGGACAAGAGAAUAAAACUCACGGAGCUAGCUAUGAUAGUUUAACCAUGGAUAACACAUCACCACUUCAUCUUAACAGCCAGCUUUCAGAACUCAGAACUGAUGCCACAGAUAGCUAA